RNAcentral lists this transfer RNA (74 nucleotides) under Arsenophonus sp. RNAcentral's name for it is "tRNA-Ile". It matches the Rfam family "tRNA". Rfam says of the family: Transfer RNA (tRNA) molecules are approximately 80 nucleotides in length. Their secondary structure includes four short double-helical elements and three loops (D, anti-codon, and T loops). Lineage: Bacteria; Pseudomonadati; Pseudomonadota; Gammaproteobacteria; Enterobacterales; Morganellaceae. The record is from RNAcentral.
AGGCUUGUAGCUCAGGUGGUUAGAGCACACCCCUGAUAAGGGUGAGGUCGGUGGUUCAAGUCCACUCAGGCCUA